Acanthopagrus latus (yellowfin seabream) is the source of this 1114-nucleotide long non-coding RNA. RefSeq lists it as uncharacterized. The transcript has 3 exons. The record is from RefSeq and is a predicted model, not a curated record. Lineage: Eukaryota; Metazoa; Chordata; Actinopteri; Spariformes; Sparidae.
CAAAUUCCACACUGUCCCAAUUGUAUGCAUCAUGAAGGCACCCAUGUGUACUUUGCUGCAGAAAAAGGAAAACCAUGCGAUUUGGAAUGCACCCAGUCAAUGGAAUGUGUUUCUACCUUUCAUCUUGUUGCUUCAUGUUUCUCCUAUCCCUGCCUGCCGUGUCUACUUGUCCCAGGAGUCCUGAUCGGGGCUGCUGUAAGUCACCUCUGUACUGUAUCUCCCAUCAGAUAGAUCUCCAUCAGACUCAAAGGCUGUGUUCAGUCUGGUGUCCAUCAGUGUUCACUGGGAGGCGACUAUGGCUGGUUGACUACACCAAAUUGACCACCGUGACUCUCCUUGUCAUAAAUGAUCUGCUGCAGCAGGAGGGUGGCACACCUGAGGAGGAUCAACUCGUUAUCCACUGCCUGUAUCUACCUAGUGCUCUCCUAUACAUGAUCUCCAGCGCCAUUCUAAUCUGCCUUCUGCUCAUCUGUUCACUUGGGUUCAUCCAAGCCAGCUCCAGUCUACCCUCCGUGCAUGCCUGCCUGCCUGCAACCCCCGUCAUCUUGUCCACAUCACCCUCCAGCACAGUUUGUAGAAUAAAUCUUCACAUCUCUACUCCUUUAUCCGUUGUCUGCAUUUGGGUCCUAAAAUAUAAUCUCAACCAUAACACUAACAGAAGCCAGGAAACUUACUUUUGCCCCAGGUCCACCCACGAGCUGUGUGAAAGAGGCCCGGCAGACAGUGACACUGAUGCACAUUAGGAUUCACAGUGAGAGCGUGCUGAGCUGCCUGCCCACUCACCUCAACUGAUUAUCUACCACAUCCAGUGUGAGAGAUACAGAAACAGACAGACAAACUGCCAGCCUGGGGUUUCAACUCAUAUGGACAGUGUGCCGCUGACAAACUUUGCCAUGUGAGUAAAUAACUUGUUUCAAUAGUGUCUAUUAGUUAUAACAGAGUAGCUGAACUGAAUGGCACUGACAGGGAAGAGUAUGAAUGUGUCUAAAGUUUGUGUAUUGUCGUGCUCAUUCAGCUGUGAGCUGCAUCAAUGUUUUGUCCUUUGUUGGAGCACACCCCCUGCUCCUCAGUCAAUACUGCCUCAUUCUUGCAGAGAGGAGGAAACAGUGUCCUG